UUCUUUCUUACCUCUUGUUGGCCGAUUCUCCCUCUUGGACAAGGAAGAGAAACUUCUUCAAUUUACAAGCUUCAAACUAUCUCAAUCUUCCAUUCCAACCAAUUAAACUUAGAUUUGCUCCAUAAAAUUCUUCCUUCUAGUGCUAGUAAGUUGUUUGGUGAACUUUGUUUGAAGAACUAAGGUGCACAACAUCUUCCUCUCUCUUGAUUUCUUGGUAAGUGUUGCUUGAACACCCUACUACCUCUAAUAAUGGUUAUAUGAUGCUUAGAAGUGGCUUGAGUGUUUGAAAAUGUGAUUUAUCUCUUGAUUUGGCUUGUUUUGGUGAAGUUUUUAUUUUAUUGGCAAUUUUUCUGGUUUAAUAUGAUCUUGAUGUUGGGGGCUUGUAUGAUGAAUUGUAGUGGUUGGAAAUGACUCUAGUGGAUGUGAAAUGUGGAUAAAUGCAACUAAUUUUGGAUUUGGUGUGAAAAUUGAAAAGCUAGGGUUCUUAAAUCCCCAAUUCUGUCCCGUUUUGGAUCAUAGGGUUAGAGGCCGAAUUUGACUUUUCUCAAAACAUGAAAGUUGUAGGUAUUGAUGUGUUUGAGGUGCCUGUAAAAUUUCAGGUCAUUUGGAUGAGUGCAGAGUGAGUUAUGCCAUUUUUACUGUAGCUGUUCUGUUUUGAUCAGAAUGCGAAAACUGCGAUAGUAAUUGGCCCUUUUGACUGGAAUUGGUUUGGAUUUUGAAGUUGGUGUCUUCUGAUGAAAUGUAGCUGGAUGUUUUAGCUAACUUAUGCCUUUGGAAUUUUGGCAUUUGGACUUGUAUGGACUGAGAUAUACCGAUUACAGUUUUCUGUGUUUUGCAAACCUGUUUUGGUAAUUCUGGUAUAGUAUUUGGCAUUUUCGAACUAGUUAAGCUAGGAACUGGAUUGAGUGGUCUUCUACAUUGUUGUAGCUCUGUUUCAUAGCUUCGAAACGGUGGUCUUGCACCCCCAUCCGAUAACCGUAGUGAAAGUGGUGUCAUUACCGCAUUAUGAAGUCAAAUACGUUUUUUUUUGUUAAGGCCUAAGUUAAAGCCAUUUCUUAAUUUCUGGUUACCUAUGAUGCUUAUAUAUGCAUAUGAAACCUUAUUGGGGUUGUGGUUGGCAUUGGUUUAUGACUCGUUAUCGAGUCUCUUUUAGGGCUUGCUUUCAUUUCGGUUGUUUCCUAGUUAACUUUUGUACUUGUACCACUUUGAGCCUAGUGAACGGCUUUUGGGAAAUGAGAUGAAUUUUGUGUGAGAUGUUGGACUGAUUUGAGGAUAUAAUGAAGCCUUAAUGGCUGGAAAAGUAAGAAAUUUAGGGGAAGUGCUGCCCGAUUUCUAGGCCGUUUGAUUCCUUUAAGUUGGAUUUGCCUUUUGGUAGAAUGAAAGGCUUUUGGGUUGUUUGCGCCUAAGUCUUCAUGCUACCUUUUCGUUUCCAAGAAAAUCAUGUUUUGCACCCUUGCAUUAGUAAUUAUUUGGCGAGGCAUACGACUAGUAGUCGAGCCUCACAUGUGCAUUCUGUUUACUCGAUUCUGGAAGUAAAACCUUCAAUUGGUUUAUUUUGAUUAUUUUAGGGUUUCUUGGCGAUUAAGGCCAAUCUGAAGUGAAAACUUUUGAAGUUGAGCCGGUGAGUGUUCCACUACCUGCUACCCAUUAUGUGAAAUAUCUGAAUAUCUGAAUACUUGAUUUAUGACUAUUGAAGCCAAAUACUGUUUUGAUAAAAUGGAGGCGAUGGUGUACUUUAUCACACUCGUUCUUCUAUCUGUUCAUAUGCCAAUUUGAGUGCCUAUCUGAAUCUGUCGUCUGAAUCUGCUAUCUGAAUAUGCUAUUCUGUAUCUGUAUCUGAAUCUGUUAUCUGUGUCUGCAUCUGUUCGGAUUUCUAUGACCUAUGAGCUCAAUCCUGUGGCCAAGUUAUUCGAGUCGGGCCGGCAAGGGCCUGGACGAUUAGAUAACGAACUACGGUAGUCUGUUUGGGGAUUUUGGGUAUUGAGACCCUUGAUUCCAGGUAUACUCGAGUAUUACCAUUUCUGUUCGGUUACGGUGAGCGGCCCGGUAAAGGGUGUUUGGUGGACGGAAUUCGGUGUAAAGAGGGUCUACGGACGUUUUGGUUCUAUAUACGUUGACGGAGAGUCAACCGGUUUGGAUCAAGUACUGCGCUGGAAAUUUGGCUCCUGAGAGCCACCCGUAUCCUUUUGAUUUGAAUCAUUGUUUCUGUGCUUUACAUCUGACAUGUGUAUCUGAUUUUGUAAAAUGUGAAAUGCCAUGAUUUUUCUGCUAUAUGAUUGGUACCUCAUUGAGCGCAAGCUCACCCUUUCCGUUCCUUUUGUUUUCCUUACAGGAAAAUAAACUCUUUUGGUCUGGAUUUGACAAAUGGCUGCCAAAUUGAGCUAGAUGAACAUAUCUUUUGUAUAGCUCAUGUAUUAAAACCCUAAGUGUACUUUUGGGGCGUUUUCUCUUUUGAUUUGGCAAACCGUGUAUAUGUA
This 2477-nucleotide long non-coding RNA is filed under the name Coffea arabica (coffee). Its description in RNAcentral is "long non-coding RNA (CARA_LNC001080)". Lineage: Eukaryota; Viridiplantae; Streptophyta; Magnoliopsida; Gentianales; Rubiaceae. The record is from RNAcentral.